AAUUAGAAUUACAGUCUGGGAAAUUGCUGGAGCCUCAGCUAUAGUGGGGGAGGGGUGGUUCCAGGAGAUGUUCUGGAAUCUUGGGAGAGCAAGAGUUUUCUAUCAGAGAGAGGCAGUCAGCUCUCAAUCCUGAGACAGCCUAAGGAAAGGGCUGGUCAAGACUUUGCUCCUGAGGAAAGACUUACAUCUUUCUCGGUGAUUGGACACCCUUCCGCCCACCAAUUCUCAACUGAAGUGGCCUGUGAAGUAGAUGGGAAGAAGCUGACAUCACCUGACAGCUGCUAGUGCCAAGGGUCUGGACAGUGCCCAGGUGGCCCAGACGAGGGCCAUUCAAGCCUGAAUCUCUCAGGGGCCCAAGUUUGCCAAGCCCUGGGUUCCCCAACUUGAGGAAGGAGAUUAUAAUUGGAGAUCUUGGAGAAUUGGGACUAUUUUUCUAUAUGCAUCCCUAUUAUUUAGCAAGAUGCCUUGGACCCAAUUAUUUCACUAAUGGAAAACGGUAUGAAGCCAUUACAACUUUUCCCUGUGAUCUCAACUUUUUAUUAAAUCCCUAUUGAGUAAUGGAAUACAGAGAAGAAAAUCUGGCAUCUUCUGUAACAUUUUUUUUUUAAUUUUUGGGUAAGCCUGAUUAUCUAGAUGUUUUUGAACAUUUUGAUUUGAUUAUGAAAUUCUAU
RNAcentral lists this long non-coding RNA (671 nucleotides) under Monodelphis domestica (gray short-tailed opossum). RNAcentral's name for it is "lncRNA (ENSMODG00000044761.1)". The record is from RNAcentral. Lineage: Eukaryota; Metazoa; Chordata; Mammalia; Didelphimorphia; Didelphidae.